Long non-coding RNA from Haliotis rufescens (red abalone), 356 nucleotides. RefSeq lists it as uncharacterized. The record is from RefSeq and is a predicted model, not a curated record. The transcript has 2 exons. NCBI's taxonomy places the organism in Eukaryota, Metazoa, Mollusca, Gastropoda, Lepetellida, Haliotidae.
UGUUACUUAGCGAGGUGUGCUAGCGGUGUGGAGGAGCUUGCUUCUGCUGUCCUACCCAGAGUGUGAGGAGCUUAUAAACAGUUACUUUUAGUACAGGUUUUACCAGCUUCCUUGUAGAGGGUCUUGACGCUGGUUUCGUCCACACAUUUCUUUUUCAUACAACACAGAUGAUGAUGACGAGUUUGGUGCCAACUUAAAUUGAAGACCCUCAUGAAAGACAGGAAGUAGUGAAGAAUCUUCAAAGAUAGAAAUUAGAACGAUAUAUUCAGUGGUUGAAUAUGGCCGAGAUGGAGAAAGGUCAAAGUGACACAGACAGUGAAGAAUGUACACCAGCAAAUUGCAGGAGGAAAAGCAAU